RNAcentral lists this ribosomal RNA (394 nucleotides) under uncultured bacterium. RNAcentral describes it as "bacterial SSU rRNA". It matches the Rfam family "Bacterial small subunit ribosomal RNA", at positions 27 to 424 of the family's 1533-position model. The record is from RNAcentral.
GGACGAACGCUGGCGGCGUGCUUAACACAUGCAAGUCGAGCGGUAAGGCCCUUUCGGGGGUACACGAGCGGCGAACGGGUGAGUAACACGUGGGUGACCUGCCCUUAGCUCUGGGAUAAGCCUGGGAAACUGGGUCUAAUACCGGAUAUGACUCCAUGACGCAUGUUGUGGGGUGGAAAGCCUUGUGCGGCUAGGGAUGGGCCCGNGGCCUAUCAGCUUGUUGGUGGGGUNAUGGCCUACCAAGGCGACGACGGGUAGCCGGCCUGAGAGGGCGACCGGCCACACUGGGACUGAGACACGGCCCAGACUCCUACGGGAGGCAGCAGUGGGGAAUCUUGCGCAAUGGGCGAAAGCCUGACGCAGCGACGCCGCGUGAGGGAUGACGGCCUCGGUU